This is a long non-coding RNA of Camelus dromedarius (Arabian camel), 2884 nucleotides long. RefSeq lists it as uncharacterized. The transcript has 3 exons. NCBI's taxonomy places the organism in Eukaryota, Metazoa, Chordata, Mammalia, Artiodactyla, Camelidae. The record is from RefSeq and is a predicted model, not a curated record.
CGCUUUGUGGGCUAGAGCUUCGCGAAAACGUUCUCUUCCGCGCCCUGCAUCAGGCCCCUCCUUGGGCUUGGAGGACUUUCUCAGCCCAGCGAGGCUUGACGAAGCGACUUACCCCCAAAACCUCACAGCUGUCGUGAUGCUGGGAUGAGAAAUCAAAGGGUGAGAGGAGACAGUUUCCACGAGGCGUUAACCUUGGAACUUACAUUUUAAAAGGAGGUACCGGCGUCAGCCAGACCAACACAGCAGAGUUCCUGUGGAUUGCUGGGCAGAAAUCAUCAAUGUCCCAAGAGCAGAAGAAAUUGUGCCCUGCUCACACAGAUGUUCAAGACAGCUGCUUCAGUGGGAAUCUCUUCCCCUCUACUACCAAAACAGAACCAAAAAAAAAAAAAAAAAAAAAAAUCACAAUUCUUCCCACUCUCAGUCAGUAGAAGUGUAACUCUGUACUGUCAAGCAAUUUGACAAUUACUUUAUUCUUUCACUUUUAAGAAGUCUGACAUGUACAAAAGGAAAUGUGUUAAUGUAAGUUAUAAAGCGUAGUAAAAUGAACACUUGUACACCCAAUUUAUGAAACAACUUGUAUUAUUUUUCCUCUAUGAACUGUAUUUUACAUUUUUUAAUUCUAUUUUUUAUUGAAGUAUAGUCGGUGUACAAUGUGUCAAUUUCCAGUGUACAGCAUAAUGUUUCAGUAAUACACAUACAUAUGUAUAUUAUUUUUCAUAUUCUUUUUCAUUAUAGGUUAUUAUACGAUAUUGAAUAUAGUGCCCUGUGCUGUACAGUAAGACCUUGUUUAUCUGUUUUAUAUAUAAUAGUAUCUGCAAAUCCCAAUUUACCCCUUCCCACCUUCAUUCCCCUCCGGUAACCAUAAGUUUGUUUCCUAUGUCUGUGAGUCUGUUUCUGUUUUGUACAUAAGUUCAUUUGUGUCAUUUUUAAGAUUCUACAUAUAAGUGAUAUCAUACGGUAUUUUUCUUUCUCUUUCUGGCUUGUAUCACUUAGUAUGAUAAUCUCCAGGUCCAUCAGUGUUGCCGAAAAUGGCAUUAUUUCAUUCUUUUUUAUGACUGAGUAGUAUUGUAUUGUAUAUAUAUAUACACCACAUCUUCUUUAUCCAUUCAUCUGUCAAUGGACAUUUAGGUUGCUUCCGUGUCUUGGCUAUUGUAAAUAGUGCUGCUAUGAACAUUGGGGUGUAUGUAUCUUUUCAAAUUAGAGCUUCCUCCAGAUAUAUGCUGAGGGGUGGGACUGCUGGAACAUAUGGUAAGUCUAUUUUUUAGUUUUUUAAGGAAACAUAUAAUUGUAUAUAUAUAUAUAAAAUUGAUGCUUCUCCAUGUGUUCCUCCCAGAUCCCACCUUCUCUCUGCUUCCUCUCAAGAUAAUCACUAUCCUGAUUUUUAAAAAUCAUUUCAACUUUUCUUUAUGAAAUUACUAUAUAUUCCCAAACAAUAUACCAUUUACUUUUUGUAUCAUUACUUUUCAAUGAUAAAAUUAUUUCUGUGCUGUACCAUUAUACUGCUGCUUCUUUUCAAUCAACAUUAUGCUUCCAUCCCCAUGUGUUUUCCCUGCCACAUAGAUUCCAUUAUAUGAAUAUACCAUGACUUAUAAAUCCAUUUUCCUAUCUCCAACAUUCAAAUUGUUUCCUUUCCCCUCUCUCCCCUCCCACUAUAAUGUACAUUGCUAUGAAUAUUCUUAUAUAGUUUCCUGAUUCAUGUGUGCAGGAAUUGUUCCAGGAUGGAGUUGUUGACUUGGAGGAUAUAUAAGACACAAAGAGUUUUCCAAAGUGGUUGUGCCAAUAUACACCCCCAGCAAUACCCUCUCCCUAAGCUUGAGCACAGCUCCUUCCUUAUCUUCACAAAGCACAGUUAAGACAAGUCUUCUAUGUUAAAUGUAAUUUUUUUUUACUGAAAGCUGAGCACAUUACAGGAAAAAUCUUAAACUGAAUAGCAUAAUUCACUGUUGGAUUUCUUUGGUCAUGUUUCUUCAUUGAGGGUCCUCUACUCAGUCACUCUGUUCCAUAGACCAACUUGGCCUGCCAGGUUAAAAGCUUCCUUUAUCCAAUCUUACCUUCCCCAGACUCCCAUCUUUUUUUAUCUCCAACUCUAAUAAAAAUAAUAAUAAAGCCCCCUUCUCCAACAACAGCAAGAAAGCAUUAACAUGCUGCCUGCAAAGAUGCAGCCCUGCCCACAAUGUAGUCAUCCUUUUACAUCACUAUGCAUUACACUUGUUCCUAAUUGUUCUGAGCUUCUUCAUUCCAGGAUGAAAUUUUGCGUUACUUUCAUGUACCCAGGAGACCCAUUAAACUGUUUUUCAAAAGAGCAGUCUUCCCCUGGAGAUGAAUUUUACAAUCAUCCCUAGAGUAGUUCUGUUGGUUAAACCCUCUUGGCUUGAAAGUAACAGAAACUCUCUCAAGCUAGUCAAGGCAGAAAGGGAGGAUUUGUUCUAAGGAUAUAGGAUAUCUUAAAAGAUCUUCUCACUGGCUACAUUGGAGUCAGGGACCCUCCUCUAAGCCAAUCUAGCAAGGUGAGGUCGUAUUGUACCAAAUGGCUUCCAGGGGAUCUUUGCUGUGGAUGAGGGGGUCACUGUUAACAUUCUGUAGAUGUGUUUCAAGUGACUGAUUCGCAGGGAAGAUUCAGAUGAAACAAUUUCUAAAUAGCAAAGCCAGUAGAAACUAUCCCAUUUGUUUCUCUCCCCUUUCAAAAAAGAGUCAACAAUUAUUUUAUGAGUCAAUUAUCUUUAUAAAAACUCCAUUAAUGCAAGAGCUCAACUGUAUAUCUUUAAUAUAUACAUAAUUAAUGUAUAUUAAUUACUGAAUAAUGUAAUACAUUUACUAAUCAAUGUAUUAUAUACUAUAUUCAGAUAUAAUAUAUAUAAAUAAAAAAUAAAGCAGAGUUUCUCAA